AGUGAACGCUGGCGGUAGGCCUAACACAUGCAAGUCGAACGGCAGCACAGUAAGAGCUUGCUCUUACGGGUGGCGAGUGGCGGACGGGUGAGGAAUACAUCGGAAUCUACUUUUUCGUGGGGGAUAACGUAGGGAAACUUACGCCAAUACCGCAUACGACCUACGGGUGAAAGCAGGGGAUCUUCUGACCUUGCGCGAUUGAAUGAGCCGAUGUCGGAUUAGCUAGUUGGCGGGGUAAAGGCCCACCAAGGCGACGAUCCGUAGCUGGUCUGAGAGGAUGAUCGGCCACACGGGAAGUGGGACACGGUCCAGGGUCCUACGGGAGGCAGCAGUGGGGAAUAGUGGACAAUGGGCGCAAGCCUGAUCCAGCCAUACCGCGUGGGUGAAGAAGGCGUUCGGGUUGUAAAGCCCGUUUGUUGGGAAAGAAAAGCAGCAGGUUAAUACCCCGCUGUUCUGACGGUACCCAAAGAAUAAGCACCGGCUAACUUCGUG
RNAcentral lists this ribosomal RNA (492 nucleotides) under uncultured bacterium. RNAcentral's name for it is "partial 16S ribosomal RNA". It matches the Rfam family "Bacterial small subunit ribosomal RNA", at positions 29 to 507 of the family's 1533-position model. The record is from RNAcentral.